This 75-nucleotide transfer RNA is filed under the name Candidatus Acetithermum autotrophicum. RNAcentral describes it as "Candidatus Acetothermum autotrophicum tRNA-Cys". It matches the Rfam family "tRNA". Rfam says of the family: Transfer RNA (tRNA) molecules are approximately 80 nucleotides in length. Lineage: Bacteria; Candidatus Bipolaricaulota. RNAcentral also lists the same sequence under 3 other names. The record is from RNAcentral.
GGCGGCGUAGCCAAGUGGUAAGGCAAGGGUCUGCAAAACCCUAAUACACCGGUUCGAUUCCGGUCGCCGCCUCCA